Molecule: ribosomal RNA, 253 nt
Filed under: uncultured bacterium
Lineage: Bacteria
Description: partial 16S ribosomal RNA
Rfam family: Bacterial small subunit ribosomal RNA
Source: RNAcentral
UACGGGGGGGGCAAGCGUUGUUCGGAAUUACUGGGCGUAAAGGGCUCGUAGGCGGCCAACUAAGUCAGACGUGAAAUCCCCAGGCUCAACCUGGGAACUGCGUUUGAUACUGAUUGGCUUGAAUCCGGGAGAGGGAUGCAGAAUUCCAGGUGUAGCGGUGAAAUGCGUAGAUAUCUGGAGGAACACCGGUGGCGAAGGCGGCAUCCUGGACCGGUAUUGACGCUGAGGCGCGAAAGCCAGGGGAGCAAACGGG